Long non-coding RNA from Pygocentrus nattereri (red-bellied piranha), 551 nucleotides. RefSeq lists it as uncharacterized. The record is from RefSeq and is a predicted model, not a curated record. The transcript is spliced from 3 exons. Lineage: Eukaryota; Metazoa; Chordata; Actinopteri; Characiformes; Serrasalmidae.
GUCAGCCUUCAACACAGAGACAAACAUACAGGAAAUAUGGACUAAGAAUUAUGAACACAUUAGUGAUGAGCAUGGAGGAAUAUGGGAAAAUUAUUCAGAGAGCAGAGGGGGAGUGGUUCUCAUGCAUCUGUCUUUUUACCAUGUGCUGCUCGCUCUGCUUAUCCAAGCGGCAUAGGAGCCAUCCGCUUUACGCUUCAGCACGGCGAUGGAUGCCCACCCUCUCCCACUGCUUGGUGGUGUCCAGGUAGUAUGUGGCAAUGAGGGGCAGGGUCAUGUAGACCAUGUUCUGCUCUCCACAGCCACCAGGCUGCACAAUCAGACGCCCCAUGAAGUCACCACUGAUGGCCUGCUGAACUGUUAUACUCAGCUCCUGACCUGAAGGAAAGCAAACAUGAGCGCAAAUGGAUAGGGAGAUUCAGCUACACUGAACCAAUAACAUCAGUUCAGCCUGCUGUCCAUGGCUCAUGCUGAAUGACAUUCUCUGAACCUCCCUGAGAAGAGUGUUGACACUCCUCAACUGACACUUACCACCACCUUCAAGGUCUUCCUUA